AAUCACUUAACGAGGAUCAAUUGGAGGGCAAGUCUGGUGCCAGCAGCCGCGGUAAUUCCAGCUCCAAUAGUGUAUAUUAAGGUUGUUGCAGUUAAAAAGCUCGUAGUUGAACUUCUGGCCGUGCACAGUUUGGCGUUUACGCCGGCUGUGUGCUGCCAUCCGUCUGCAAACUCUAAACAACCUUGAGUGGCUUGGUGGGGGGAGUAGACAUUUUACUUUGAAAAAAUUAGAGUGUUUCAAGCAGGUUAUUGCCAGAAUACUUUAGCAUGGAAUAAUGGAAUAGGACUCUGUCCAUUUGGUUGGUUAUUGGACCAGAGUAAUGAUUAACAGGGACAGUUGGGGGCAUUAGUAUUUAAUUGUCAGAGGUGAAAUUCAUGGAUUUAUUAAAGACUAACUUAUGCGAAAGCAUUUGCCAAGGAUGUUUUCAUUAAUCAAGAACGAAAGUUAGGGGAUCAAAGACGAUCAGAUACCGUCCUAGUCUUAACUAUAAACGAUGUCGACUCGGGAUUGGAAAGGUAUAUGUAUCCUUUCCAGCACCGUAUGAGAAAUCAUUAAGUCUUUGGAUUCUGGGGGGAGUAUGGUCGCAAGGCUGAAACUUAAAGGAAUUGACGGAAGAGCACCACCAGGCGUGGGACCUGCGGCUUAAUUUGACCCAACACGGGAAAGCUUAUUUCAGCAGAGCAUGAGUGGGAUUGACAGAUUGAGAGCUCUUUCUUGAUUUUAUGGGGUGUGGUGCAUGGCCGUUCUUAGUUGGUGGAGUGAUUUGUUUGGUUAAUUCCGUUAACGAACGAGACCUUAACCUGCUAACUAGUCAGCGUGUUAAACUACGCGUUGUACUUCUUAGAGGGACUAUGGGUAAUAAGCCCAUGGAGGUUUGAGGCAAUAACAGGUCUGUGAUGCCCAUAGAUGUUGAAAGCGGCACGCGCGUCAUACUGUCCAGUAACAGCAAGUUUACUUCCUCUACCGGCAGGUUAGGGGUAAUCUACAAAACUGGACGUGGUAGGGAUAGAUCUUUGGAAUUAUAGAUCUUGAACGAAGAAUGCCUAGUAAGUGCAAGUCAUCAACUUGUGCUGAUUACGUCCCUGUCCUUUGUACACACCGCCCGUCGCUCCUACCGAUUUCGAGCGAUAUGGUGAAUCUCCUGGACCGUGAAGCUCACUUUGUGCUUCGUGGAAAGUUUAGUAAACCUUAUCGCUUAGAGGAAGGAAAAGUCGUAACAGGGUA
RNAcentral lists this ribosomal RNA (1224 nucleotides) under metagenome. RNAcentral's name for it is "SSU rRNA". It matches the Rfam family "Eukaryotic small subunit ribosomal RNA", at positions 528 to 1801 of the family's 1831-position model. The record is from RNAcentral.